UUGCACGCUGGCGGCCUGCUUUACCCCUGCAAGUCGCACGGCAGCGCGGGCUUCGGCCUGGCGGCGAGUGGCGAACGGGUGAGUAAUGCAUCGGAACGUGCCCAGUAGUGGGGGAUAGCCCGGCGAAAGCCGGAUUAAUACCGCAUACGACCUGAGGGUGAAAGCGGGGGACCGAAAGGCCUCGCGCUAUUGGAGCGGCCGAUGUCGGAUUAGCUAGUUGGUGGGGUAAAGGCUUACCAAGGCGACGAUCCGUAGCUGGUCUGAGAGGACGACCAGCCACACUGGGACUGAGACACGGCCCAGACUCCUACGGGAGGCAGCAGUGGGGAAUUUUGGACAAUGGGGGCAACCCUGAUCCAGCCAUGCCGCGUGCGGGAAGAAGGCCUUCGGGUUGUAAACCGCUUUUGUUCGGGAAGAAAUCCUCUGGGCUAAUACCCCGGGGGGAUGACGGUACCGGAAGAAUAAGCACCGGCUAACUACGUG
RNAcentral lists this ribosomal RNA (483 nucleotides) under uncultured bacterium. RNAcentral's name for it is "partial 16S ribosomal RNA". It matches the Rfam family "Bacterial small subunit ribosomal RNA", at positions 29 to 507 of the family's 1533-position model. The record is from RNAcentral.